RNAcentral lists this unclassified non-coding RNA (246 nucleotides) under fungal sp. RNAcentral describes it as "partial internal transcribed spacer region". The stretch from base 1 to 46 matches the Rfam family "Eukaryotic small subunit ribosomal RNA", at positions 1786 to 1831 of the family's 1831-position model. The record is from RNAcentral. Lineage: Eukaryota; Fungi.
AAGUCGUAACAAGGUUUCCGUAGGUGAACCUGCGGAAGGAUCAUUAAAGUAUUAUUCGCACAUUAUGUCGAAUCUACCUUUUUGUGAAGCUAAUGGCUAUUCUAUUUGUAUUUGGGGAUUGAAAAUGUCGAGUACUUGCUGCUGGACGGCCCCAACAACAUCAUUAAACACUAUCAUAUCAUCACUGACAGUUAUCUCAAUUUAUAAUUGAUAAAAUAACUUUCAACAACGGAUCUCUUGGUUCUC